UCUGUUUUGCCAUGUGUCCAAUUUUCCUUAAUCCAUGUUAAUUCAAUCCCACGUCACCACGCCACUUCAGAUCCCAUUCAUUCCUUCGCCCCGCCUCUUCGAUCGCUUCCUGAUUCCCACAGCUUCGAUCCCUGCCCCGCCUCUUCGAACCCUCCCCCACAACCGCCUCUUCGAUCCCUCCUCCGCCUCUUCGAUCCUUCCUCCGCCUCUUCGAUCUCUCUCUACGCUUCAUCAUACCUUUUCUCGCGCGCCCCUCUCCCCGCCUUCUUCCCCUGUCGCCCCGCAGGGCGCGGAGGUCCUGCAGAUCCACGCCGAACUCUCUCAGCUCUCUUUCCGAUCUGCAAGGGUCUUCUUCUCCUCCUCCCCCUCGCCAUCACGCGAGGAUCUAGAAACACCAAUGAAGCCACAUACCUCUCAUACACCGAGGAGCUCGCAGGCCCCCGCGCCCUCUCCCGAGCGCUCGCGCCCUGUUCGAUGAAAUGCCGAGGCGAUUGCAGGGCGCUUCGCGGGCAUCGGAGAGGUGGGGUGCGGCGCUGGGGAUAGUGCAUGGUUAAAAAAAAAAAAGAGAAAAAAAAGUGCCCUGGAAUCCGCAGGCUCCUCCUUUCUCCUUUCCUUCAGCAUGGUUUAUAAAAAAAUAGAUAUAUAUUAGAUGUGCUGGUUAAGUGCAACGGUUUGAGGAGGGGCCUUUUCCAAUUUCAGAUUUGGGGUCCCAAAGAAGUCCAGACAAAAGUAAACAGGGGGGGAAGAACUGUAGUUCGGUCCUGUGCAGUUUAUAGCAAUGUUUUGUCUGUUGUGGGUUACUUUGCUUUCACUUGAAUGUGAUAAGAAUUUGACCCUUCUAUUCCCCGAGACUUUGUCUUCCCCGUUUUCCUCCCGUGCGAUGAUGACCUUCCCAAUAUCAGAUAGUCGCGAUAAUUGAGAAAGGCCUGCGCUUUCUUGAUUGGUAAUGAGAGCACUUUGGAUGGCUUACUUCUUAAGCAACCAGUUGUUCUCAUUUGUGCUAAGAAUGGUUUCGGCGUGCGCAUGGUUUCUAGCUCGGUCGGCACUAUUAAUCGGGAAGGCUUCGCUGCCAAUCUGAUAAUGCUUGAUAACUAGGGGUGUCUGAGCAAAAAUUAUUUAUUUAUUUCCAUACCUACCCAUGUUUGCUACUCCUCUUUACUCUUAUCUUCUUUGUAAAUAUUGGUUUCAUGUUUUUUUAAACUAUUGGGAUUUCCCCAAACUGCAUCUUUGGCUUUGAUUUGUCAAAUCUCUUUAUUUUCGACUUGCUUUUACCUGCAUUCGAUUUCUUUUUCCCUUUUUGUUUUAGCAACCUUUCAAGACUUGGUUAUUUUACAUCAUUGUUUUGAGCUGUUCCAUAGAAAAAACUCUAUUCUUUUGCUUUUCCUUCGCCCUGAUUUUCGCAGCAAAAAAAAUUAUAUGCCGUGGAAUCCGCAAGUCCCUGUUUUCGAUUUCUGCAGGUUCCCUAUGCCUUCCUGCUGGCUGUCGGCUCUUUGUUUUUCUUCAUAGUCCUUACCUUGAAUGUUACAUGAUUGCAACAAUUGAGCUUCCACCUAUUUUUAUCCCAAACAACAAUGCACCUUUCCUUGAAUGUGAAAUGAUUACGAUAAUUGAGAGGGGCCCGACCUUCUUGGCGACUAUGAAGUCAUCACUUGCACCCAUAAUGAAAAGAACUACAGAGCUCCUUGGUAUCAAAGGUACAGGUAAUGAUGCAUUAAGUUUGUUCAGUUUGAACAAUGGAAGCUUUGAACUUUCUUCCAUUAGCUCUUGGUACCUAUAAUAACAUAGAAGCAAAACCGAGCAUAAACUAUAUAUCAAGUUGCUUUUGUACUUCAAAAUAUAUGGCUCAAACUAUUAGAACUAUCAAGGUGCAGGGGAAGGAAAGUCUUUCAAUUUAUGAGCAGCUCAAGUAGUACCACUAUCAACACAGCAUCGAUAAUAAAAUAGGUAAGAAAAAGUAUGUUUAAAAUAAUUAGGACGGGGGCGCCGUGUUCAAGGAGGAGUGGCGGCAGCGGCGGCGGCAUCAGCAGGACGGCGCCAUGUGGGAGAAGGCCGGGGUCAACGUCUCAGUCGUGUACGGCGUGAUGCCCCCCGAGGCCUACCGCGCUGCCAAGGGCGAGCCCAGCGCCGCCAACCCCUCCGCGAAGGCCGGGCCCGUCCUGUUCUUCGCUGCGGUGAUCAGCUCAGUAAGUAACGCUCAUCAACAAUGGAUUCUUUAAAGAUCUUUACAUAUUAUGCAUGGACUCUGAGCUUCUAGGGACACCAUUAUUAAGCAUUAAAUUUACUGAGUGAUGUCAGGUUGAUUAAUCACUAAAUUGUUGCAUGAUUGCAUGAAAUAGGGUGCGUCGUAGAAGCAGAAUGAGUGGAGUUAAUAUGAUUUAUCUGCUUUUGAGAUGGUUUUUUAUUUUUUAAUUUAUAAAUUAGGGUUAAAAUCGUAUAAAAUUGAGGAUAAAAAAAUAAAGAGAAAUGGGUUUAGAGGGUUUUAGAGGAGAUUUUGAUGUAAAUUAGCUAAUAAAAAUGAUAGCUCUUCUUCUGUUUUGUUGUUAGUGUCAGAUGGGAUCUGAGUCAGGAGGUAAUGUGGCAGUUUCAUCUGCUGAUGGGACCACCAGAAAACCCUAAUUCUAAAUUCUUUCUUGGGCAAGUUGUUAUAAUUUCUUAUUAACAUCCGUGACAACUAGGGAUUCAAGAGAAAAUUUUUGCUUCUACUUUGUUUGUGAUCUUUAUUCUUUUUUAGCUUGUGGUAUUAGAUAUAACUUAUACUUAAUUAUCUUUGUUUCACAAUACUGUUUUGGCUUAAGGAUGACCUUUAUGAAUUUCUAAAUGGAUAAUCUAGGUUUCUAUGAGUUAUUUUCACGCCAUAUUAAUAGCAAACUGAAUGGGGUAUUGCAACAAAAAAAAAACCUUUCAUACCUGAAAAUUCGGGGAGCAACAGUACACAUCAUAUUUCUGAUCCUUAAAGAGUCUGCUCAAUAACUCUUCAGAUUCAUCUCAUUCCAAAAUGUAGAAUUAACCGCCUAUCAACCAUCAAGUCAUUCGCUCUGGCAUGAACUUCAUUACUCCAGCUCUGGAUGUCAUUGUCUUUAUUCUCUGUAUAGCAUCUUAGAUUCUCUACUUAGUCAAUGUACAAGCCAUUGACAACAAUGAAUUAUAUAUAAAAACAUAAUUUUGCUUUGACAAUUACCUGUAGGAUAACGUUUCAGCAUGGAUCUUUAUAGUUCCUUCUUUGGGUAUUUUAAUUCACCUUACCUGAACAAGGAGGAAAUAAAGAAUGCCGGUAACAUUAUCAAACAAGAGAGUACAAAUGGUCACAAGCAGUGUCGAAUCAAAAUUGAGAGUAAAACUUCAGUGUCGGUUUUCAUCUCGCCAACAGCUUCAAUUACUUUCUUAGUACCAUCUGCAUUCUUUUCUGCUUAUACAGAGGGAGAUAGUUAGCUUGCAUUCUUUUCUGCUUAUACAGAGGGAGAUAGUUAGCCUGCAUUCUUUUCUGCUUAUACAGAGGGAGAUAGUUAGCCUUCCUUGAGUCAUCCUGAGUGUCCUACUCAAAGCCAAUUCUCCAAGGGUUGGUUUUGCAAUUCUUCUUACCCUUCCAUUGAGAUUUCUGAAGUUGUAUCAACUUUCUCUCCAAAGAAGAGCAAUAUUGGACUUUCAAUAGCUUCACAGCAUCACAAGGACCUAUGCAGACACUAGAGCAAACCGGAGGUGAAAGGAAAUAAAGGAAGGAACAAAAAGAACAAGACAUGCUAGGUGACAACUACAAAAUCCCAAAAUUCUGAGUAGCCAAAGAAUUUGUACAAAAUCCCAAAAUUCCGGCAAAUUGAAUUAAGAAAUUGUUUGUUAUCUAUCUACCAAUAAUAAUUGUUGACAAAAUCUGAAGUUACUAUCAUCAUUUGAAUAAGUACUCAAAACUGAACAAAAUCUCUAAUUGGGAUGAUAGAUCACAAGUUUUGAAAGUCGCCGAUCAAAAUAAUAAUACUUACUUAAGGGGUCUAUUUCAAAAAAUGUAUAAUCGAGGGGUACUCAAAGAAAAAAAAAUAAAAACUGCAUCUGGUUUCAGUUAGUUUAUUUUUAAUUAACUUUACCUGCCCAUAGUCAAGUGUAUUCAUAUGGACUAAAGCACUGUAGGGUCAUGGACUAUAAUCUACACAAAUUAAUUCCAGUGCCAUAAUAAUAAUGGAUGCAAGGAUUGGAGGAUUAGUUGACACCAUGUGCCAUAGGGGAUUAAUUAAAUGGUAAUGUGUUCCACCUAGCAAGGAUUAAAUGAAAAUGCGCUGUAACGCGUGUCUCGCAGCAUGUGGAGGCCGGCUUCUGUUUCUGUAGUUUCUACUGUUGUUUAUUCUUCUUUUUUCUCAGCCUCUUUAUUCUUCUUCUAUUUUUACUAUUGCUGGUUUUCCGUCCUGUUCAAAGUGUUGAUUAUUAAUGAGCGAUGAUGACAAACAAAAGUGAAGGAACCCAAAUGGUUCUCCAAUUUUGAUGGCCAAAUGGCGACUCUUACUGCAGUCUAAGAAGUAUUUUCCUGUGCCCCCAUUGAGAGCAAUAUGAAGGACUACAUAACAUGCAGUAGUUGCUCCCUAGAAAAGUAUAUCACAUUCUUUAUGCUUUCUAGGCUGACCAAUUAUGCCAUUUUUUCAAAUUUCUUAACAACAAAUGCCCACUAUUUAUUUUGUUCUGUGUGCUUCUAUUUUUUUUUUU
RNA transcript from Ananas comosus (pineapple), 4686 nucleotides. It is a transcript of the gene named oxygen-dependent coproporphyrinogen-III oxidase, chloroplastic-like, with no coding region annotated. The record is from RefSeq and is a predicted model, not a curated record. NCBI's taxonomy places the organism in Eukaryota, Viridiplantae, Streptophyta, Magnoliopsida, Poales, Bromeliaceae. The transcript is spliced from 2 exons.